Long non-coding RNA from Platichthys flesus (European flounder), 2312 nucleotides. RefSeq lists it as uncharacterized. The record is from RefSeq and is a predicted model, not a curated record. NCBI's taxonomy places the organism in Eukaryota, Metazoa, Chordata, Actinopteri, Pleuronectiformes, Pleuronectidae. The transcript is spliced from 2 exons.
CACGUUUAGUAUUUUAUUUAGAUGUGUUCGAAGUGAUCGCAGGGUGUGUUUGUAUCAGAUGGUUAGCUUAGCAACGCUAGCCUGGAAGGUAAACACAGCUUCGAACGGGUGAAAUAUCUGCCGUUCUACGCGAACAGGAGAUAUUACCGCCACACACCGACAUGAACACGUCCACCGAGCAGAGAUAAGCGUUAGUUUAUGAGGAUGACUCUGAGACAGGAGACCGUGUGUGUCCGGAGAAUUAGCUCUGUCACGAUAUCUAAUGGUAUAAAGUUGGUUUCACAAACAGAUUUAUUGUGAUCAACUGAAACCUAAGUAUUUAAAGUCACAUCUGCAUUGUAAGAGCAGCUGUUCAAAGGAGCAUUAAGUGUCCUAAAGACCAUUUCAUAUGCUGAAAUGAUUAUGAUCUGAUUAACUUUGAAGUAAUAUUUUAUGUGAAAUAACUCCCCCCGCUGUACAUUCAUUGUCAUGGUAGUGCAAGUUUUAAUCCAAAAGCAUUUUCAAAUACACAGUUUUAUAUCCACAGAAAAUAAAAAUACACAUUUUGUUAUAUUAUUUUAUUAAUUACAGACGAGCCUUAAGGACACAGCUGUGAGACCAUGUUCUGUUUCUCAUGGCAAAGCAGAAAUAUAAAACACUGGGUUCUAAUCUUAAGUGUAUCAAAUCAGAAAGGAAAACAUACACACCGUUCUAAUAACUGUUUAUGUGUUUAGCAUACUAUAAUGAAGUUAGAAAUUAAGUCUUAUCCAUGACACUUAGAAAUGACUGCCAACAGUAAACAUUUGCAGGGCAUCUUUACCCAAGGGAGAAAUGCAUCUUCCUGUUGACCAGCUUGAAGCUGCAGAUCUCCACCAUCUUGCUGUCAUCAGGACACACCAUCAGGAUGGAUGCCAUUCAAGGAAAAGGAAAGUAAGGAUAUUGCUGUGUUUAUUUUUUUAACCUACUAUAAUGACGUUAGAAAUUAACUCUUAGCCAUGACACUUGGCAAUGACUGCAAACACUAAACAUUUGAUAUUUGCAGGCCAUCUGUAGUUAAGGGAGAAACGCAUGAAGUGUUGUGUUGAUUAUGAUGAUGAUGUGGCAGUUGUCUUCCUGUUGACCAGCUUGAAGCUGCAGAUCUCCACCAUCUUGCUGUCAUCAGGACACACCAUCAGGAUGGAUGCCAUUCAAGGAAAAGGAAAAUCCAGGGCCUCUGUGGCCGCACCAUGGAUUGCGGUUUGUGGAUCGCUCACCGGGGGUCGCAGCGGUGGAUGGUGACUGAGAACUGGAGUGGCGUCUGGUCUGGAUGGUGGAUCGUGGUCUGGAUGGUUGCUGACCAUGGACUGUGAUUGCAGCGGGACUGCUUGGCAUGUCAUGUUGGGGUUGUCCUUCGGGAUAUCUACCCUCAUCAAAUGCUGCUAGAGACUUUGAUAAUUGAUGAUGUUCUCCUACACGUGGCAUCUAUUGCACUUCUGUCAGUCCUGGGAGAGGGAUCCCUCACAUAUUAUUAUAUUUUAAGAUGAACAAACAUUCAUUUUAUUAUGAGUACAGUCCAGUGUGAAAAUAAAUAAUUAACAAUGUUGAAAUAUUGUGUUCACAAAACUAUAUUUGUGAACAUCCAAAAAAGUUAAAAAUACUUAUUGGAAAUUUGAAUACUGGUAGCAGUGGGAAAAAAUACAAAUAAAUAAUUUCAAUGUAAAAAAAAAUUCACAACUAGGAAUUCAAAGGUUUUAAAAUGUAAAAAGUGGAUGAGACUCAUUUACUUCCAUAUGCCUAUAUCCCUUUACCAUAAUAGUAUAAAAAAGUUCUACUGUAUUUAUUACGGUGAAGUUCUGGCAACCAAAGCUGGCAACCGCAGCUGUCAGUUUUAUUACAGUGUAGAACUAAGCAUCAACUACUUUUGAUUAGCUAAGCAGCUAAUAUUGAACUUAGGGCAAAUCUCCCAUGUACUGGCCAAAUCGAGACAGAAGUAAUAGAUCUGAUGAUCACCCAACUAAAACCCAACAAGCUUAAGAAUGAGUUAAUCCAGCGACCUAAUUAACACAGAAUUAAUGACAUAAAUAAAUGCAUGAAUUGCUUGAAUAAAUUAACCUAUGCUGCACAAUUCAUCUUAUGACAAUUUUUACAAUUGCCUGUGCAAUUAUUUAACUGCAAGAAGCUACGACUUAAUUAUGUAAAAAAUGUGGGGGGGGUGUAUAUCAGUUGUUCUCUCAUUACAUGUUCACUAACGAUGCACCUCAAUUGGCCCUCCCAGCUCAUUACUCAAACAUAACUCAGCUCUAUAUCACUGUUAUGAACAAACACUCUGUAGUAAAGGACUCGUUUAGAACUCC